Molecule: transfer RNA, 82 nt
Filed under: Echinostoma caproni
Lineage: Eukaryota; Metazoa; Platyhelminthes; Trematoda; Plagiorchiida; Echinostomatidae
Rfam family: tRNA
About the family: Transfer RNA (tRNA) molecules are approximately 80 nucleotides in length. Their secondary structure includes four short double-helical elements and three loops (D, anti-codon, and T loops).
Source: Rfam by way of RNAcentral
GGCCUCGUAGCUCAGCUGGUAGAGCAUGCGCGUACAAAGCGUAGGCGGCGUCCAUGCGUGGGUUCCAAUCCUACCGAGGCUA